GUGAAUUGAAGGCAAGUACGUAACAAGGAAGGAGAACAAAAAUGACGAAAAAGGGUGUACGUGCAAAAAAAGCACAUCAGAUAUUUAAACUUAAUGCUUGAGAACAACAAACACACAAGAGUCGUCAAUUCAUCAUUUUGCUUUCCCACCACCCUGUCCACUCCUCUCUCCUCCAAAAGCAUUGAUUGGAAUUCAAAUAGUUUCCAGUUUUGCAUGCAAUGUUUUGCGUCUUUACCAAAUAAUGAAAAUAAAUUCAGCCAACACCAUGCCAAACUGGUGUAUGGACCAUACUUUGACCUCUAUUGCACAUGCCGUUGCAGUUUCCCAUUUAUAAUAAACAGCAGUGCUUCAGCAAAUGGAACAAGUCAAUCUCUACAGUUUAAGGACUUCAAAUAUGUGUACCAGAAACGUUUAGCAGAAACAUUCACACUCAUAAAAAUGAAAAUUAGAAAGUGAAACUUGAAGAAAUCAUAGUUUUGAUGUCGACUAAAAUGAAAAAGACGCUGACUUUUUGAAUGGA
RNAcentral lists this unclassified non-coding RNA (520 nucleotides) under Hevea brasiliensis (rubber tree). Lineage: Eukaryota; Viridiplantae; Streptophyta; Magnoliopsida; Malpighiales; Euphorbiaceae. The record is from RNAcentral.